Molecule: ribosomal RNA, 254 nt
Filed under: uncultured bacterium
Lineage: Bacteria
Description: partial 16S ribosomal RNA
Rfam family: Bacterial small subunit ribosomal RNA
Source: RNAcentral
UACAGAGGGGGCGAGCGUUAUUCGGAAUUAUUGGGCGUAAAGGGCGCGUAGGCGGCCUUUCAAGUGACGGGUGAAAUCCCUCGGCUUAACCGAGGAACUGCCUGUCAGACUGGAAGGCUUGAGACCGGGAGAGGUGAGUGGAAUUCCCAGUGUAGCGGUGAAAUGCGUAGAUAUUGGGAGGAACACCAGUGGCGAAGGCGGCUCACUGGACCGGAACUGACGCUGAGGCGCGAAAGCGUGGGGAGCAAACAGGG